This is a long non-coding RNA of Oncorhynchus kisutch (coho salmon), 3549 nucleotides long. RefSeq lists it as uncharacterized. Lineage: Eukaryota; Metazoa; Chordata; Actinopteri; Salmoniformes; Salmonidae. The record is from RefSeq and is a predicted model, not a curated record. The transcript has 2 exons.
AGAGAGAGACAGAGAGACAGAGAGAGAGAGAGAGAGAGAGAGAGAGAGAAUGCAUUAGGCACUUAGAGCCAUUCCUCUCUGGCUAAAGGCUAAUGCAAUUGCCACAAUAAGAGUCUCAACGGAGCCUGGAAAAAAACUGAGAGGGGGAUGAAAGAAGAGAAGGAGGGAGGGAGGGAAAGGGAGGGAAGAAAGGAGAGCAGCACUGCUUCCAGACUCUCACAUGGAUAGUGGAUCUCUUGGGACGAACAGUUAAACGUUUUUUUCUCACUAUCCUUUUCUAUAUCUUUCUCUCUCUCUCUUUUACUCUCGCUUUCUCUUACUUUCUUUUACUCUCUCUCUCUCUCUCUCUCUCUCGUUACUCUUCUGUAAGUGGACGAACUGUUGCUGUGCAUCUCCAGAGUGAUUCAUCAGGUUAAAAGAAACUACGGUAGCAGCCAGUCACUAGCCAGCGGGUUGUGUUAACUAGCUCCAAGUCUGACCUCUCCUCUCCACUGCUCACUUCUUCUCUAUGGGAAACCGAACAGACCAGGACAAGACAACCCUUCCCUCCCUCAUCUCCUCUCCCCCUUUUAUGUCCCCAAAAGAGACCUCGGCACAGGACAAAGUUGCUGCUGCUGCUGGAUCUGAAAUGGAACAUUCCUUAGAGCAGCCUUCCGAGAAAGAACUCCUCCACUGACUGCUCCACUCCUCCAUAUCCUCAGCUGAACUCGGCUCUCACGCAGCACUACUGGAUCUGUGGGCAUGGGUUGGUCUGACUUGGGAGCAGCCAGAGGACAGCCAGAGGACACUCCAGAUGUCUGGGGAGACAUCUGGAGGCCCCGCCGCUGCGGGCCAGGGAUGGGCACCCGGUUACGCUCGCUACCAGUCUGGCUGUGGUGGGGAGGGUUCCUGGCACAGUGAUUUGGUGCACAAAUAUAAACGAAAAUCACAUUGCCAGGGAUUUCCACCCUUACACAGGCAGCUCUCCAGGUGACCCAGGUGGCAUCGGUAUGUUCUGCCCGUCAGGGUACGUCGUUUCUGUUUCCCGAUCUUGGCCCUCUAUGGUCUAUGGAAACAAGAUCAUGUAAAAUAAUACUCAACUCCAGAUAAAAGCUGUUUUCAGCUCUCACACAGGGAUUUACAGAUUACUUCCUGGUAUUAGCUCCUUACAAACGGGAACUGUGGGAAACUGAGCCUACUUUGGCAGCCUUUGCUUAUAGACAUAAGGAGUGGAUAGAUCCAAAGUGCAAAGAGUGUUUUACCUUCUAUAGAAGUCUACAAAGUACUUCCAGCCUUAGAGGAAUCAAUCAACGUUCCUCCAGACUGCCAGUGAAAGUCUAUUUUCCUCAUGUGCAUCCUGUAGGGAGCAGCCACUUGCUAAAGGCACAGAGCUUAGCUAAUUGGUGAGCAUUGAUCCCUCUUAUGUGUUGUUCACAGUGGCUAAGUUCAGUGCCUGCGGUGAAAUAGUUGAUGCAGCAGGAUGUGCUCCAAACGAUGGCGAUGAACGAGUACUGGCUGAGUUCUGAGAUGUGAAGACGAAGGAAGAAGGUGGGAAGAGAGGGAGAGAUAAUGAUGGAGGAGUGAGGUGUUGCGUGGGCAUGGAGACAGAGGCAACAGCGGGAUACAGCACGAUCCCCGUAAGGAGCAGAGGAAAGAAGGCUGCUGGGGGAAUGUCAGGCCAGCCCUGGCAUGCCCAGUUCCACACUCCAUCUCAGUCAGUCAGUCAGUCAGAGCACAGCACCUGGCUUUGGCACUCGGCACUGGCACUGAUUUAUGUGGCAGAGGAUGGGGCACAGCUCACCUCACGUCCUCCCCAGAGGUGAGCUGGUGUGUGGGCUAGGCUGCCCUCUUGUCACACUCUGAGCUGGUGUGUGGGCUAGGCUGCCCUCUUGUCACACUCUGAGCUGGUGUGUGGGCUAGGCUACCCUCUUGUCACACUCUGACCUGAUGUGUGGGCUAGGCUGCCCUCUUGUCACACUCUGAGCUGGUGUGUGGGCUAGGCUGCCCUCUUGUCACACUCUGAGCUGGUGUGUGGGCUAGGCUGCCCUCUUGUCACACUCUGAGCUGUGGGGGCUUGGUACUUGGUAUAGAACCAUACCAAGCUAUCAUGCAACUCUGAGGCCACAUUACGAGUGUGUGGAAUUCACUUUAAGAGUUGACAUACAUGCAAAACAUCUUGUGGGACAGUGGUCAACCCAUUUACGUGAGGCACAUUUGUUUUUGUAGUUAUCUCUGUCCCCUUGUCCAUUGGUCAGUUGGUUAAUUGUGGAUCAUUAUUAUAGAGUUCUUAUGGCCUAUUGUAAUGUUGUUUUGUCAAGAGGUUUAGACCUCUUGUGGUAACUGCUUAGUAAGGCCUUAAAUUGAAAGUUUCUCAGGGUUACCCAUCAAAUUGGCUACAGUAUGUUCUGUGGUUUCCAUUCAGUCUCAAUGUAGAGUGGUAGAGUGUUUCUAAAGGGAUGGACGUGGAGGGUUAUAAUACUCUAUGGUUGGGGCUGUGCCCUCCUGUGCCUACUGAACUGGUAUCAGUUUGAACUCUGAGUACUGGCUCAGUUCAGCAGGAACAGGAGUGGAGCCCACUGUGUGCCAUUACGCCCUCCAAUCAGCAUGCAGAAAGACAUCCAGUACCCCAUUAGCCCUGCCCACCAUACCCCCAAGGGCUUGUGCCAUUGGCCUUGAUGAAACCCAACAUUCCUGUCAGCAUUAAACCCUGAGACAUCAGACAGAGGCAUUGCAGCCUGUGAGAGUUGAAUGUCCCUGCUUCAAGUAUGAAUGUUUCAUAACCAGAUUUAUCAUUAGGAACUGGCAGGCAGCAUGGAGAAGGUACAUUGAAUUUGCUGCAUACUGAUGCAGUUAUUCUCCUCGGACUUCAUGUUUAUUUCAGUAUGGCUUUUUCCCCUUGACAAUGCCGCAGCCAAGCACACACGCACUCUCUAGCUCUCUGAGCCGUCAGAGGGCAAACGGAGAAACUGAAGUUCAUUGUGCGGUAAUCCAAGUGAAAUGUCUGCUAUGUCCAUGUAAUUGACGUUACCUAGAGAGCCUCAUUUUCAGCUGAUUGGGAAUGUCUGCUAUUUUACUUUAUGCUCCCCUGCGACAGAGAUAAUGUGGCACGUUAUAAAUCAGGACUUUGGAAACAUUCUUUAUCUCAAGAUUUUUCACUCGUAGGAGAAAAGAGGUUCAUUAACCACACGAUAAAUCUCAUGCUCAUCCAAUGGGCCGUGGAUUGUAGACGGCAUUUGCCGCCUCUUGACAUUUUUGCAAUGACUUUUAACCUUGAAGAGAUUACCUGAAUGAAACCUAGUUUUGUAAUAUGACAAGACUGGUGGAUUCUUGUCCUCCGGGCAUUGGUCCAAAUUCAUAUCUUUUUUUUGUAUCUAUUAGGGGUAAAACAGGGGAUUAACAUCAAGCUACUACUUAAAAUGUCGCAUUUGUGGUUCCUUAACUCUGAGGCAUGCUGCUCUUCCUUUGUUGUCACAGGUGUCUCUUUCAUGCUGUUCUGUGAGUCACCACUUUUGCUGUAAAUCUCAUGUAAUCCUACCACAAAAUCCAUGAAUAAAAAAGUAUUACUUCAUA